AUUGAACGCUGGCGGCAGGCCUAACACAUGCAAGUCGAGCGGCAGCGGGACCUUCGGGUUGCCGGCGAGCGGCGGACGGGUGAGGAAUGCCUAGGAAUCUGCCCGAUAGUGGGGGACAACGUUUCGAAAGGAACGCUAAUACCGCAUACGUCCUACGGGAGAAAGUGGGGGCUCUUCGGACCUCACGCUAUCGGAUGAGCCUAGGUCGGAUUAGCUAGUUGGUGGGGUAAAGGCUCACCAAGGCGACGAUCCGUAACUGGUCUGAGAGGAUGAUCACUCACACUGGAACUGAGACCCGGUCCAGACUCCGACGGGAGGCAGCAGUGGGGAAUAUUGGACAAUGGGCGAAAGCCUGAUCCAGCCAUGCCGCGUGUGUGAAGAAGGUCUUCGGAUUGUAAAGCACUUUAAGUCGGGAGGAAGGGCUGCAGGUUAAUACCUUGCAGCCUUGACGUUACCGACAGAAUAAGCACCGGCUAACUUCGUGCCAGCAGCCGCCGUAA
This 500-nucleotide ribosomal RNA is filed under the name uncultured bacterium. RNAcentral's name for it is "partial 16S ribosomal RNA". It matches the Rfam family "Bacterial small subunit ribosomal RNA", at positions 30 to 523 of the family's 1533-position model. The record is from RNAcentral.